AGAAUCAACGCUGGCGGCGUGCCUAACACAUGCAAGUCGAACGAGAAAGGGGAGCAAUCCCUGAGUAAAGUGGCGCACGGGUGAGUAACACGUGACUAACCUACCCUGGAGUGGGGGGAUAACUGAGGGAAACCUUAGCUAAUACCGCAUAAUACCUACGGGUCAAAGGAGCAAUUCGCUUCAGGAGGGGGUCGCGGCCGAUUAGUUAGUUGGCGGGGUAAUGGCCCACCAAGACGAUGAUCGGUAUCCGGCCUGAGAGGGCGCACGGACACACUGGAACUGAAACACGGUCCAGACUCCUACGGGAGGCAGCAGUGGGGAAUUUUGCGCAAUGGGGGAAACCCUGACGCAGCAACGCCGCGUGGAGGAUGAAGUACUUCGGUACGUAAACUCCUUUCGAUCGGGACAGUAAUGACGGUACCGGAAGAAGAAGCCCGGCUAACUUCGCGCCAGCAGCCGC
This 460-nucleotide ribosomal RNA is filed under the name uncultured bacterium. RNAcentral's name for it is "SSU rRNA". It matches the Rfam family "Bacterial small subunit ribosomal RNA", at positions 26 to 518 of the family's 1533-position model. The record is from RNAcentral.